GAUGAAGAACGUAGCGAAAUGCGAUAAGUAAUGUGAAUUGCAGAAUUCAGUGAAUCAUCGAAUCUUUGAACGCACAUUGCGCCCGCCAGUAUUCUGGCGGGCAUGCCUGUCUGAGCGUCAUUUCAACCCUCAUGCCCCUAGGGCGUGGUGUUGGGGAUCGGCCAAAGCCCGCGAGGGACGGCCGGCCCCUAAAUCUAGUGGCGUACCCGUCGUGGCCUCCUCUGCGAAGUAGUGAUAUUCCGCAUCGGAGAGCGACGAGCCCCUGCCGUUAAACCCCCAACUUUCCAAGGUUGACCUCAGAUCAGGUAGGAAUACCCGCUGAACUUAAGCAUAUCAAUAAGCGGAGGA
RNAcentral lists this unclassified non-coding RNA (348 nucleotides) under soil metagenome. RNAcentral's name for it is "partial contains 5.8S ribosomal RNA, internal transcribed spacer 2, and large subunit ribosomal RNA". The stretch from base 1 to 120 matches the Rfam family "5.8S ribosomal RNA", at positions 35 to 154 of the family's 154-position model. The record is from RNAcentral.